GGACUCUCAGACCAUGAGAAACAAGAUUCUCUGGUUUGAUGAAACCAAUAUUGAACUCUUUGGCCUGAAUGCCAAGCUUCAUGUCUGGAGGGAACCUAGCACCAUCCCUACGGUGAAGCAUUGUGGUGGCAGCAUCAUGUUGUGGGGAUGUUUUUCAGCGGCAGGGACUAGUCAGGAUCGAGGGAAAGAUGAACAGAGCAAAGUACAGAAAGAUCCUUGAGAAAAACCUGCUCCAGAGCGCUCAGGACCUCAGACUGGGCUGAAGGUUCACCUUCCAACAGGACAACGACCUGAAGCACACAGCCAAAACAACGCAGGAGUGGCUUCGGGACAGGUCUCUGAAUGUCAUUGAGUGGCCCAGCCAGAGAACGGACUUGAAUCCGAUCGAACGCUCCCCUUCCAACCUGACAGAGCUUGAGGAUCUGCAGGGAAGAAUGUGAGAAACUACCCAAAUACAGGUGCGUCAACCGUGUAACGUCAUACCCAAGAAGACUCGAGGAUAUCAUUGCUGCCAAAGGUGCUUCAACAAAGCCUCUGACAACAACAAGAGUGCCACAGUUACGGAGUCAUUCCAAGCAGCCAUCACCAGCUACAGAGUACCAUCCUGGGUGAGAAGUAUCUGUGCCUUCAUGGAGCAGUUCAGGGGUGGUGAGAGGGGAAAUGCCCUCUCACUGCCCCAGCUUCAACCACCAUCACCUCUCAAGCCACCUCCACCUCAGCAAUGCCCCUGUGACAAUAAUUUUGGACCCCCUUUUGGCCCCCCUAAAUGUGGAGUAUGAAACACAUUUUUGCUAUCGUUCUUUUUUACAUCCGUUAUUAGACAGUGGCAACGAUGAUGAUUAUGAACAUGGUUUUUUGCCUGCUAAUGCCUGCAACGCGGUGAAGAAAGCGAUAUGACAACAAUAACGUCUAAUGUAACUGGCCCCACAGUACAACUGUUAGAGGGAUUCUCUGCCUCUAACCCUAUUACAGGGGCUGAGUCACUGGCUUACUGGUGUUCUUCCAUGCCGUCCCUAGGAGGGGUGCGUCACUUGAGUGGGUUGAGUCACUGACGUAGUCUUCCUGUCUGGGUUGGCGCCCCCCCUUGGGUUGUGCCGUGGCGGAGAUCUUUGUGGGCUAUACUCAGCAUUGUCUCAGAAUGGUAAGUUGGUGGUUGGAGAUAUCCCUCCAGUGGUGUGGGGGCUGUGCUUUGGCAAAGUGGGUGGGGUUAUAUCCUGCCUGUUUGGCCCUGUCCGGGGGUUUCAUCGGAUGGGGCCAUAGUGUCUCCUGACCCCUCCUGUCUCAGCCUCCAGUAUUUAUGCUGCAGUAGUUUAUGUCUCGGGGGGGCUAGGGUCAGUCUGUUACAUCUGGAGUAUUUCUCUUGUCUUAUCCGGUGUCCUGUGUGAAUUUAAAUAUGCUCUCUCUAAUUCUCUUUCUCUCUUUCUCUCUCUCGGAGGACCUGAGCCCUAAAACCAUGCCUCAGGACUACCUGGCAUGAUGACUCCUUGCUGUCCCCAGUCCACCUGGCCGUGCUGCUGCUCCAGUUUCAACUGUUCUGCCUGCGGCGAUGGAACCCUGACCUGUUCACCGGACGUGCUACCUGUCCCAGACCUGCUGUUUUCAACUCUCUAGAGACAGCAGGAGCGGUAGAGAUACUCUCAAAGAUCGGCUAUGAACAAGCCAACUUACUCUUGAGUUGCUGACUUGUUGCACCCUCAACAACUACUGUGAUUAUUAUUAUUUGACCAUGCUGGUCAUUUAUGAACAUUUGAACAUCUUGGCCAUGUUCUGUUAUAAUCAGCACCCCGGCACAGCCAGAAGAGGACUGGCCACCCCUCAUAGCCUAGUUCCUCUCUAGGUUUCUUCCUAGGUUUUGGCCUUUCUAGGGAGUUUUUCCUAGCCACCUACUUCUACACCUGCAUUGCUUGCUGUUUGGUGUUUUAGGCUGGGUUUCUGUACAGCACUUUGAGAUAUCAGCUGAUGUAAGAAGGGCUAUAUAAAUAAAUUUGAUUUGAACUGGCCCCAGUUGAAAUGGUCUAGAACCGCCACUGCUCAUUCCUACUCCAACCUGACUUACUACACCCCUGAUAUUCCCCUACAGGGACAAGGGAUCGGACACUAUAUCGUAAGUGCCACUCGUUCCUACUCCAACCUGACUUACUACACCCCUGAAACUCCCCUACUGGGACGAGGGAUUGGACGCUAUAUCUUCAGCGCCACCCGUUCCUUCGAGUCAGUUAAUUUUUAUAAUACUAUUUGAAAUGGUAACGACUCAUAUUUUUUUCAGUCCUUGAAUCAGUUAAUUUUUAUAACACCAAUAAUAACACCACCAAUUAGGAUGCCACCAUUAGUGAACUCUUCUUCAACCAGAGCUUUGGAAAACCCUCUCCUCCUUGCACAGAAACUGUUCCCGAGGAAACACUCCCCCGCAUUCACACACUGUAUGAUUUGGUCUCUAGAAAGGUACUACAGACAUGUUCAACCCUUAACAAAGAGUGUUAAGGUGUAUGGCCCCUCGGUGGGUUCAAUACAGUACCAGUCAAAAGUUUGUACACACCUGUACAUUAGACCGGUGGAAAUCUGUCCAAAUUUGAGAUUUUUGGUUCCAACUGCUGUGUCUUUGUUAGACGCAGAGUAGGUGAACGGAAGAUCUCUGCAUGUGUGGUUCCCACCGUGAAGCAUGGAGGAGGAGGUGUGGGGGUGCUUUGCUGGUGACACUCAGUGAUUUAUUUAGAAUUCAAGCAAAACUUAACCAGAAUGGCUACCGCAGCAUUCUGCAGCGAUACUCCAUCCCAUCUGGUUUGUGCUUAGCGAGACUCUAAUUAGUUUUUCAACAGGACAAUGACCCAACACACCUCCAGGCUGUGUAAGGGCCAUUUGAGUGCUGCAUCAGAUGACCUGGCCUACACAAUCACCUAACCUGGUUUGGAAUGAGUUGGACUGCAGAGUGAAGGAAAAGCCGCCCACAAGUGUGUUGAGGUUGGGGGGUUGUGGAGGCCAGGUCAUCUGAUGCAGCGCUCCAUCACUCUCCUUCUUGGCCAAAUAGCCAAAUAAUUAGGUAUGUUGGGUCAUUGUCCUGUUGAAAAACAAAUUAGAGUCCCACUAAGACUUUUUGAAGGUUAUUUUACUGAUUUAAUGAUCAUGGACUGUUUCCCUGUGUAUAUUAGGAUACAUUUUAUUACAUUUAAAUAAUGUUUCAGUAUCUUUAGUGUCACGUCCUGACCAUAGUAAGUUGUUAUUUUCUAUGGUAGAGUGGUCAGGGCGUGACAGGGGGUGUUUAUCUGUUUUUGUAUGUCUAUGUUCAGUUCUAGAUUUUGUAUUUCUAUGUUGGUCGUUGUUUGGCAUGACCUCCAAUUAGAGGCAGCUGGUUGUUGUUGUCUCUAAUUGGAGGCCAUAUUUAAGUUGAUGUUUGUCCCACCUGUCCUUGUGCGUGAUUAUAUAUUUUGAGUAGUGUGUUUUUUUCCUCUCUGCGUCACGGUUUGUUGUUUUUUUGUUAGUUAAAGUAUUUAUGUAUUGUUUCACGGUUAUAAUAAAUAUGUGGAAC
RNAcentral lists this long non-coding RNA (3523 nucleotides) under Salmo salar (Atlantic salmon). RNAcentral's name for it is "lncRNA (ENSSSAG00000107048.1)". The record is from RNAcentral. Lineage: Eukaryota; Metazoa; Chordata; Actinopteri; Salmoniformes; Salmonidae.